UUGUGAGGUUAAGCGACUAAGCGUACACGGUGGAUGCCCUGGCAGUCAGAGGCGAUGAAGGACGUGCUAAUCUGCGAUAAGCGUCGGUGAGGUGAUAUGAACCGUUAUAACCGGCGAUUUCCGAAUGGGGAAACCCAGUGUGUUUCGACACACUAUCAUUAACUGAAUCCAUAGGUUAAUGAGGCGAACCGGGGGAACUGAAACAUCUAAGUACCCCGAGGAAAAGAAAUCAACCGAGAUUCCCCCAGUAGCGGCGAGCGAACGGGGAGGAGCCCAGAGCCUGAAUCAGUGUGUGUGUUAGUGGAAGCGUCUGGAAAGGCGCGCGAUACAGGGUGACAGCCCCGUACACAAAAAUGCACAUAUUGUGAGCUCGAUGAGUAGGGCGGGACACGUGGUAUCCUGUCUGAAUAUGGGGGGACCAUCCUCCAAGGCUAAAUACUCCUGACUGACCGAUAGUGAACCAGUACCGUGAGGGAAAGGCGAAAAGAACCCCGGCGAGGGGAGUGAAAAAGAACCUGAAACCGUGUACGUACAAGCAGUGGGAGCCUCUUAAUGGGGUGACUGCGUACCUUUUGUAUAAUGGGUCAGCGACUUAUAUUCUGUAGCAAGGUUAACCGAAUAGGGGAGCCGAAGGGAAACCGAGUCUUAACUGGGCGUUAAGUUGCAGGGUAUAGACCCGAAACCCGGUGAUCUAGCCAUGGGCAGGUUGAAGGUUGGGUAACACUAACUGGAGGACCGAACCGACUAAUGUUGAAAAAUUAGCGGAUGACUUGUGGCUGGGGGUGAAAGGCCAAUCAAACCGGGAGAUAGCUGGUUCUCCCCGAAAGCUAUUUAGGUAGCGCCUCGUGAAUUCAUCUCCGGGGGUAGAGCACUGUUUCGGCAAGGGGGUCAUCCCGACUUACCAACCCGAUGCAAACUGCGAAUACCGGAGAAUGUUAUCACGGGAGACACACGGCGGGUGCUAACGUCCGUCGUGAAGAGGGAAACAACCCAGACCGCCAGCUAAGGUCCCAAAGUCAUGGUUAAGUGGGAAACGAUGUGGGAAGGCCCAGACAGCCAGGAUGUUGGCUUAGAAGCAGCCAUCAUUUAAAGAAAGCGUAAUAGCUCACUGGUCGAGUCGGCCUGCGCGGAAGAUGUAACGGGGCUAAACCAUGCACCGAAGCUGCGGCAGCGACGCUUAUGCGUUGUUGGGUAGGGGAGCGUUCUGUAAGCCUGUGAAGGUGUGCUGUGAGGCAUGCUGGAGGUAUCAGAAGUG
Molecule: ribosomal RNA, 1255 nt
Filed under: Escherichia coli
Lineage: Bacteria; Pseudomonadati; Pseudomonadota; Gammaproteobacteria; Enterobacterales; Enterobacteriaceae
Description: partial 23S ribosomal RNA
Rfam family: Bacterial large subunit ribosomal RNA
Source: RNAcentral